AUGAACGCUGGCGGCGUGCUUAACACCUGCCAGUCGAACGAAGCACUUUAUUUGAUUUCCUUCGGGACUGAUUAUUUUGUGACUGAGUGGCGGACGGGUGAGUAACGCGUGGGUAACCUGCCUUGUACAGGGGGAUAACAGUUGGAAACGGCUGCUAAUACCGCAUAAGCGCACAGCAUCGCAUGAUGCAGUGUGAAAAACUCCGGUGGUAUAAGAUGGACCCGCGUUGGAUUAGCUAGUUGGUGAGGUAACGGCCCACCAAGGCGACGAUCCAUAGCCGACCUGAGAGGGUGACCGGCCACAUUGGGACUGAGACACGGCCCAAACUCCUACGGGAGGCAGCAGUGGGGAAUAUUGCACAAUGGGCGAAAGCCUGAUGCAGCGACGCCGCGUGAGCGAAGAAGUAUUUCGGUAUGUAAAGCUCUAUCAGCAGGGAAGAUAAUGACGGUACCUGACUAAGAAGCACCGGCUAAAUACGUG
RNAcentral lists this ribosomal RNA (480 nucleotides) under uncultured bacterium. RNAcentral's name for it is "partial 16S ribosomal RNA". It matches the Rfam family "Bacterial small subunit ribosomal RNA", at positions 29 to 507 of the family's 1533-position model. The record is from RNAcentral.